Molecule: ribosomal RNA, 385 nt
Filed under: uncultured bacterium
Lineage: Bacteria
Description: bacterial SSU rRNA
Rfam family: Bacterial small subunit ribosomal RNA
Source: RNAcentral
AUUGAACGCUGGCGGCAUGCCUUACACAUGCAAGUCGAACGGCAGCACGGGAGCAAUCCUGGUGGCGAGUGGCGAACGGGUGAGUAAUACAUCGGAACGUGCCCAGUAGUGGGGGAUAACCCGGCGAAAGCCGGACUAAUACCGCAUACGACCUACGGGUGAAAGCAGGGGAUCGCAAGACCUUGCGCUAUCGGAGCGGCCGAUGUCAGAUUAGCUAGUUGGUGGGGAAAAGCUCACCAAGGCGACGAUCUGUAGCUGGUCUGAGAGGAUGAUCAGCCACACUGGGACUGCGACACGGCCCAGACUCCUACGGGAGGCAGCAGUGGGGAAUAUUGGGCAAUGGGCGAAAGCCUGACCCAGCCACGCCGCGUGAGUGAUGAAGGCC